GCUGUUCCGAUCUGUUCCUAUGUUGUAUGUAUGAAUUUGCAUUUCGUUACUCAUUUAAUUUUCUAUUAACGCUGCUGUAAUAAAGGAGAGUCCGUUAUGGCCAUUUCUCAUCAUCAAUUAUUAUUAGUUUUCUUUUUGUUUACCAUUUUCCUUUCUGCAUAUAUCCACAUUUUAAUCAUAAUCUCCUUUUACGCUCGCACUAUGUCCUAUAUAUUGUUUUUCUUCUUCUUUUAAUUACUAUAUAUUCUCUUUUGAUGUGUGCAGUUUAGUUUUUGUUUAAUAAAAAAAUGGGGCAUCCUGGUACUGGUUCUGUUUCUGUUUAACGGGCAAUGCACUUGCCCAGCAGCUCUGCGGCUUACGUUAAUGUUAAUGUUACUCUUGUGUUGCUCUUGUGAUCUCUGUGCUGUGCUUGGUUAUAGUUCUCUAUUCGUUCUCCAUUCUGUUCUCGUUGUGGGUGCUGUAUGGUUUGUGAGUGUAUGGUGUGUAUUUAGUGUGGUGUGGUGUGUGUGUGUGUGUGUGUGAGUGUGUGUGGUGUGUUUGUUACACUUCUCGUAUA
Long non-coding RNA from Drosophila busckii, 556 nucleotides. RefSeq lists it as uncharacterized. The record is from RefSeq and is a predicted model, not a curated record. NCBI's taxonomy places the organism in Eukaryota, Metazoa, Arthropoda, Insecta, Diptera, Drosophilidae. The transcript has 3 exons.